UUCCAGACUCCUACGGGAGGCAGCAGUGGGGAAUAUUGCACAAUGGGGGAAACCCUGAUGCAGCGACGCCGCGUGAGUGAAGAAGUAUUUCGGUAUGUAAAGCUCUUUCAGCAGGGAAGAAAAUGACGGUACCUGACUAAGAAGCCCCGGCUAACUACGUGCCAGCAGCCGCGGUAAUACGUAGGGGGCAAGCGUUAUCCGGGUUUACUGGGUGUAAAGGGAGCGUAGACGGCAUGGCAAGUCAGAUGUGAAAGCCCGGGGCUCAACCCCGGGACUGCAUUUGAAACUGUCAGGCUGGAGUGCAGGAGAGGUAAGUGGAAUUCCUAGUGUAGCGGUGAAAUGCGUAGAUAUUAGGAGGAACACCAGUGGCGAAGGCGGCUUACUGGACUGUAACUGACGGUGAGGCUCGAAAGCGUGGGGAGCAAACAGGAUUAGAUACCCCGGUAGU
Molecule: ribosomal RNA, 448 nt
Filed under: uncultured bacterium
Lineage: Bacteria
Description: bacterial SSU rRNA
Rfam family: Bacterial small subunit ribosomal RNA
Source: RNAcentral